RNAcentral lists this ribosomal RNA (804 nucleotides) under Acinetobacter brisouii. RNAcentral describes it as "bacterial SSU rRNA". It matches the Rfam family "Bacterial small subunit ribosomal RNA", at positions 77 to 875 of the family's 1533-position model. The record is from RNAcentral. Lineage: Bacteria; Pseudomonadati; Pseudomonadota; Gammaproteobacteria; Moraxellales; Moraxellaceae.
AGCUUGCUCCUGGAUUUAGCGGCGGACGGGUGAGUAAUGCUUAGGAAUCUGCCUAUUAGUGGGGGACAACGUUUCGAAAGGAACGCUAAUACCGCAUACGUCCUACGGGAGAAAGCAGGGGAUCUUUGGACCUUGCGCUAAUAGAUGAGCCUAAGUCGGAUUAGCUAGUUGGUGGGGUAAAGGCCUACCAAGGCGACGAUCUGUAGCGGGUCUGAGAGGAUGAUCCGCCACACUGGGACUGAGACACGGCCCAGACUCCUACGGGAGGCAGCAGUGGGGAAUAUUGGACAAUGGGGGGAACCCUGAUCCAGCCAUGCCGCGUGUGUGAAGAAGGCCUUUUGGUUGUAAAGCACUUUAAGCGAGGAGGAGGCUUCUUUGGUUAAUACCCAAAGUAAGUGGACGUUACUCGCAGAAUAAGCACCGGCUAACUCUGUGCCAGCAGCCGCGGUAAUACAGAGGGUGCAAGCGUUAAUCGGAUUUACUGGGCGUAAAGCGUGCGUAGGCGGCUAAUUAAGUCAAAUGUGAAAUCCCCGAGCUUAACUUGGGAAUUGCAUUCGAUACUGGUUAGCUAGAGUAUGGGAGAGGAUGGUAGAAUUCCAGGUGUAGCGGUGAAAUGCGUAGAGAUCUGGAGGAAUACCGAUGGCGAAGGCAGCCAUCUGGCCUAAUACUGACGCUGAGGUACGAAAGCAUGGGGAGCAAACAGGAUUAGAUACCCUGGUAGUCCAUGCCGUAAACGAUGUCUACUAGCCCGUUGGGGUCUUUGAGACCUUAGUGGCGCAGCUAACGCGAUAAGUAGACCGCCUG